GUCGAGCGGUAACAGGGGGUGCUUGCACCCCGCUGACGAGCGGCGGACGGGUGAGUAAUGCUUAGGAAUCUGCCCAGUAGUGGGGGACAACAGUCGGAAACGGCUGCUAAUACCGCAUACGCCCUACGGGGGAAAGCAGGGGAUCUUCGGACCUUGCGCUAUUGGAUGAGCCUAAGUCGGAUUAGCUAGUUGGUGGGGUAAAGGCCUACCAAGGCGACGAUCCGUAGCUGGUCUGAGAGGAUGAUCAGCCACAUCGGGACUGAGACACGGCCCGAACUCCUACGGGAGGCAGCAGUGGGGAAUAUUGGACAAUGGGGGCAACCCUGAUCCAGCCAUGCCGCGUGUGUGAAGAAGGCUUUCGGGUUGUAAAGCACUUUCAGCGAGGAGGAAGGCCUUAAAGUUAAUACCUUUAAGGAUUGACGUUACUCGCAGAAGAAGCACCGGCUAACUCCGUGCCAGCAGCCGCGGUAAUACGGAGGGUGCAAGCGUUAAUCGGGAAUUACUGGGCGUAAAGCGCGCGUAGGUGGUUUGGUAAGCGAGAUGUGAAAGCCCCGGGCUUAACCUGGGAACGGCAUUUCGAACUGUCAGACUAGAGUGUGGUAGAGGGUAGUG
RNAcentral lists this ribosomal RNA (612 nucleotides) under uncultured bacterium. RNAcentral describes it as "bacterial SSU rRNA". It matches the Rfam family "Bacterial small subunit ribosomal RNA", at positions 61 to 663 of the family's 1533-position model. The record is from RNAcentral.